Oncorhynchus keta (chum salmon) is the source of this 1207-nucleotide long non-coding RNA. RefSeq lists it as uncharacterized. The record is from RefSeq and is a predicted model, not a curated record. The transcript has 3 exons. Lineage: Eukaryota; Metazoa; Chordata; Actinopteri; Salmoniformes; Salmonidae.
UGGCGCUGCCCAUGCUCUCACAGAUGCCAUAAUGCGACGGGAGAGGCUAUACAGACACUGGUGCCCAAAUUGAUGACGUAUGUCAUGCAGCUGAGAGUCAAGUGGAGAGGAAUGGAUUUGGUUCAGUCAAUCAGUUAUGCUGGCAACAAAAGAAUAUGACGCUAGUUAAAACUUGUAAAAGAAAGUGAAGUCUAUUUCGAUGGGUGAGGGAGAAAAAACUUGUAGUAUUGGUCACCAUCUGGAUGUCACCAUGACAAGCAAUUAGUUGAUGUAAUGAAUGUGCAACGGUGUUGUAUCGAGGUACUUGCAGCAGUUGCUUCCCAACGCAGCUGUAUCACAUGUCGCUGGUGGUAGUUAACGUGGCAAAUGUCUUCCACCCCACUUCAUUUUAUUUUGAGUAGUAUGGAAAUAACUUGUAACAUUGGUAGUAACCAUCUGGAUGUCACUGUGAUACAGUUUAUUGCGCAAUGGUGUGAGUUUGCGCUGCAAGCCAGCAACACAACAUGGGGCAUGUGUCCUUCACUCCCGCUUGACGGUCAGGGUGACAGCUAAAGCACCUACAUUGUAGCGAUUUUCACCAAUUUUUAUUUUUACUGCAAUAAGAACGGAAUGCUUCUACACUACAAUUUUCAACUUCGGCAGACAAGUUUCAAAUUCUUGCUGGAGUUUUUAGCCACAAGCAUAAUCUAGCUAGCUGGGAAGGGCUCAUCGGGACAACUGACGGAACCGAAACCCUCCGUCAUGUAGGCUUUCCAUGGCAUGACAUUUUGAGAACUGAAAAUCUCUCGGUCAAGGUUGAAAAUGCAAUGAAACAGGGACAGACAUGGUUAUUUUGCACUGAUGUGCAAAGAACAUGGGAUGCAGGUCCAUGCUGUUUGCCACCUGUCCAUGCUGUGGUUCUCUGACAAAUGGCCACCCCUCUCCCCGGUCUCAUUGACGGCCAUCUGGCAUAUACCGUGAGGCGCCUCCUGAAUGUUCGACCUCGAGGUAGGGGAUUCCAGUACCUGGUUGAUUGGGAGGGUUAUGGCCGAGAGGAGAGGUGCUGGGUCCCCGCUAGGAACUUCCUGGACCCAGCCCUCAUCGCUGAGUUCCGCCGCCAGGUGGCGUCCCUAGUGAGAGGGGGUACUGUCACACCUGAUCCUUUUUUUAACGGCCUUGACUUACUUUUUGCCUGCCCCUGGUACUAUAAUAAACUCUGAGACUCAUA